RNAcentral lists this long non-coding RNA (244 nucleotides) under Vulpes vulpes (red fox). RNAcentral describes it as "lncRNA (ENSVVUG00000026550.1)". The record is from RNAcentral. Lineage: Eukaryota; Metazoa; Chordata; Mammalia; Carnivora; Canidae.
AUCAGACCUCCCAUAGGCCCAUGAGGUAGAUUUGGUAUUAAGCGGAUUCCUAAUAAUUCUGUUUCCUGGCAAGCUCCUGACAUCCUGCAGCAUAAUGCAAAUGCAGCUGGCUACCCGGGUCAUAGCUCCGACUAACCCAUCACGCUCACUGAUGUAUGACUUCACCUCUCUGAAUGUGUUCUCCAUAUCAGUCUUCCCACGAGGAUCCCAUACCUCAGCAGAAGAAAUUUAUCAGAUGAUUUGA